CUAGCGGCGGACGGGUGAGUAAUGCUUAGGAAUCUGCCUAUUAGUGGGGGACAACAUCUCGAAAGGGAUGCUAAUACCGCAUACGUCCUACGGGAGAAAGCAGGGGACCUUCGGGCCUUGCGCUAAUAGAUGAGCCUAAGUCGGAUUAGCUAGUUGGUGGGGUAAAGGCCUACCAAGGCGACGAUCUGUAGCGGGUCUGAGAGGAUGAUCCGCCACACUGGGACUGAGACACGGCCCAGACUCCUACGGGAGGCAGCAGUGGGGAAUAUUGGACAAUGGGGGGAACCCUGAUCCAGCCAUGCCGCGUGUGUGAAGAAGGCCUUUUGGUUGUAAAGCACUUUAAGCGAGGAGGAGGCUACCGAGAUUAAUACUCUUGGAUAGUGGACGUUACUCGCAGAAUAAGCACCGGCUAACUCUGUGCCAGCAGCCGCGGUAAUACAGAGGGUGCAAGCGUUAAUCGGAUUUACUGGGCGUAAAGCGCGCGUAGGUGGCCAAUUAAGUCAAAUGUGAAAUCCCCGAGCUUAACUUGGGAAUUGCAUUCGAUACUGGUUGGCUAGAGUAUGGGAGAGGAUGGUAGAAUUCCAGGUGUAGCGGUGAAAUGCGUAGAGAUCUGGAGGAAUACCGAUGGCGAAGGCAGCCAUCUGGCCUAAUACUGACACUGAGGUGCGAAAGCAUGGGGAGCAAACAGGAUUAGAUACCCUGGUAGUCCAUGCCGUAAACGAUGUCUACUAGCCGUUGGGGCCUUUGAGGCUUUAGUGGCGCAGCUAACGCGAUAAGUAGACCGCCU
RNAcentral lists this ribosomal RNA (787 nucleotides) under Acinetobacter sp. MJ331. RNAcentral describes it as "bacterial SSU rRNA". It matches the Rfam family "Bacterial small subunit ribosomal RNA", at positions 92 to 874 of the family's 1533-position model. Lineage: Bacteria; Pseudomonadati; Pseudomonadota; Gammaproteobacteria; Moraxellales; Moraxellaceae. The record is from RNAcentral.